This 477-nucleotide ribosomal RNA is filed under the name uncultured bacterium. RNAcentral describes it as "bacterial SSU rRNA". It matches the Rfam family "Bacterial small subunit ribosomal RNA", at positions 15 to 518 of the family's 1533-position model. The record is from RNAcentral.
GAUCCUGGCUUAGGAGUGAACGCUGGCGGCGUGCCUAACACAUGCAAGUCGAGCGAUUCUCUUCGGAGAAGAGCGGCGGACGGGUGAGUAACGCGUGGGUAACCUGCCUCAUACACAUGGAUAACAUACCGAAAGGUAUGCUAAUACAGGAUAAUAUAAGAGAUUCACAUGGAUUUCUUAUCAAAGCUCCGGCGGUAUGAGAUGGACCCGCGUCUGAUUAGCUAGUUGGUAAGGUAACGGCUUACCAAGGCGACGAUCAGUAGCCGACCUGAGAGGGUGAUCGGCCACAUUGGAACUGAGACACGGUCCAAACUCCUACGGGAGGCAGCAGUGGGGAAUAUUGCACAAUGGGCGAAAGCCUGAUGCAGCAACGCCGCGUGAGUGAUGAAGGCCUUCGGGUCGUAAAACUCUGUCCUCAAGGAAGAUAAUGACGGUACUUGAGGAGGAAGCCCCGGCUAACUACGUGCCAGCAGCCGC